Molecule: long non-coding RNA, 3768 nt
Organism: Chelonia mydas (Green sea turtle)
Lineage: Eukaryota; Metazoa; Chordata; Testudines; Cheloniidae
Exons: 2
Source: RefSeq, a predicted model, not a curated record
GCAGCCUCAUCUCACGUCCAGAGGGCACCAUGCAAGGCAGAGGGGACGCUCACCUCAUGGUUUCAGUAACUCAGCUGGCAGGACAAGUCAGAGAUCUGUUGUCAGAGAUAAUGCAUGGCCCAGCCGCUCUUCAUCCCUCUCCUUGUGCUCUAGCUUGGGUCUCUGGUCUCUGUGCUGUACCCUUUGAGCACCGGCAUGUCUUGUCGCACUGCAAGCCUGACCCGCGAAUAGGAAGUACAUCAGUGCGUACAGCCACGGGUAAAAUAGCAUACGCUGAGUAUUACGCGCUGUCCUGCAGCCCUCGCUGGCCUGAACCUGGUGUGACUUUACUAGUCUCAGGGUGACGUUCAUCCCUGUGCAGAGGCAGCACGAGGCCCUUGCACCGCUUGGUGCUGAACAGGCACCUGGGCCCUGUGCUGGCCCCUUGCUCACGGGCGGAUGCCACCAAAAUACCAGUUAAGAGGCCACCAACCCAAUCCAAGUAUAUUGGCCAUUUUCAGGGAGGCAAGUAUUUGUAAGUCUGUUUUUGCAGUAUUCACUUAGCUCUGGUAGUACCUGCUGUGUAAUGUGUGCCAGAAAUAGCUACCCAGGUAAAUCAAUGAGCAUUGUAAAUAGAUUGUUUGCGGUAUUUUACUUGUGAUUUGCAAGCCCAGAGAUCUUCUGAAUUUUUGCUGACUGGUCUGGGUGUUUUUUCUAUAGUGCUGUCAGAUAGUCUCAGCUUUCACAGGAGGCUGUUGUGAGUGAAUGAAUGAAAGGUUCUUUGCAUUCCCUGGCAUGACAUGGUGGCUUUGUUCUACUGCACAUAACAACAUUUCAGUCCAUUCUUUGUGCUUGGCAGAUGAGCAGUGCCCAUUUGCCUUUGUGCCCAUUUUCCUCUGUAUCUGCUUAGCACUGUCUCCUCUCCUUCUUUGCCAAAGAAGGGCCUGACAAACAGCAGGGUAAUUCAUUGAGUCCAUAUUAAACUGCAAGAGAUGGGGGAGGUUGUAAUGUGACUGACGGUCUGUGUAAUGAUUUCACUCUGUUCAGGAUCCUGAGAGCUCCAGAAUAACUCGAGCUGUUCAAGGUAAAGAACACCAGCCCUCCUGUGCAUACAGCCCUGAAUGCAAUGGCAGAUGGAGGAGGCUGCCACGAGAAGGAGCCAGGGAUGUUUUUUGCUGUUUGCAUAGACCCAUACAUUCUCAGCGCUCACACACACUUCAGCCCCUUCCAAUCUCUCUGCUCUUGAUGGAGCAAGUCAGCAACCAUAACAGAUAAUACUUGUCAUUUUCUACCAUUUUGUAUGUUCAAAGCACUGUACUGGUACUAACAAACUAAUUCUCACGAUGGCCCCAGGAAGCAGGUGGGCAAGUAUUAUAACUUUCUCCUUUUUACUGAUGGGGGAAACUGAGGCAAAGAGGUACAAUGACUUGCCCAAGGCCACAGAGUCAGUGGAAUAGGGAAUAGAGCUCAGGAUCUCUUGUCUCGUAAUCCCAUGCUCAUUUCUUCAGACCAUGUGACCUCUCCCUUGCCAGCCCCUAAAAGUGGGCAGUUCUUGUUAUAGGGGUUUUUGCUGCUGAGUGUUGGGACGAUAGUUCAGAGUCUGUAAUUAAACAAAUCUUACUUUAUUAAACUGGGACAUGUAAUAAGCAAGGGGAAUAAUAUGCUUUAAUCUAAGUAGGACACGGGCAAUUAGACAGGUGUGAACAUGUGAUACGAUUUCUGGAAGUUGGGCAAGUUCUGUGGGAGUCGGAGGAGGGAUGUCAGCAUCUCCUACCCUUUAACAGCAGAGGCCUGAUCCCCACUGCCUGGCAUUGUGUGUGUGGCGGUUACAUCAGCCUAGCUCUGCCAGUGUCUACUCACUACAGUGUUGCUCCGGCCGACGUAAGUCGCCCACUACACCAACCUAAUAACGCCACCGCCGCGAGAGGUGUUGGGCGCUUUGGUCGAUGUAGUUAGGUCAACGCAGUGUCAGCGCUUUCAUCGGUCUGUUCUGGCUGUCAGCCCCAGCAGCUGAAACCAAUGUAAUUACUAUGUUGGCUGUAUGUCGACAUGACUUAAUUUUGUCACGUAGACUUGCCCUGAUUCUCCUGUCGCUUACACUGACCGUGCGUCCCGCCUCUCCAUUCAGUGGUGUGUGUUUUUUUGUUUUUGUUUUUCUCAACAGCGGUGUCAGCAGCAGUCCAGGGAAGGAGCACUCCAGCCGGCAACAGCAGCAGCUCAAGGGAGGGAGAAGGAGCUCCAGCCAGCAGGGCAGCCAGAGAAGAGGGAGGGCUCCAGCCAGCAGGGCAGCCUAAGCAGACUGACCCUCCCUCCUGUACCUAUUGGGUUCCGGGAAGACCCCCCACCCCCACCCCAGCCUAAGGGGAGGAUCCACAGGACCUGGAAACCAAAUGAUUCCGGGGACAACUAAUGAAAUAACAGGGACAGGAGUGCAGUCAAAGGGUUAAAAGAAGGGAGCCUGACGGGGACACCGAGCAGAGAACCCCGGACAGUGCCCACUGCUCCUCAAAGGCGUCAAGGGAGCCAGUGGACGCUGCCCGUUACUCCAUAUUCAGACCAGUGUGAGUGAGAGGAGAGCUGGUGUCCUUGUGCUGCACCUCUUUCACCCAUGCAAAGUGAGCGUGAAGUGCUGUCAAAUCUGAAUGCUCCAGACGCUAAGCUUUUUAUACCUUUUUUGCACAGGUAUAAGUCUCCACCCAAAGCACAGGAAAGUAGAGAAUUGGUCCACAGAUGGUGGAGAAUCAGGCCCUGGGGGCUAUUUUAUUAUGAGUUAACUUUGUAAGGAAACCAGGACAGGGAAAGCUGAAGCAUCGUGGAAAGAACAAUGACAAUUUCUGAAUUUUAAGCAGAUCUGGGCCUGCUCAGGGGUUGGGAUCUCAAUUUCAGAGAGAAAGGAGAAGUGAAUAGGAAAUGAUGUCUCUUAAACAUUCCCUGCACAAUGUGAGCACAUGCAGGGCUAUGCAAUAGGACGGGGUGCCAAACAAGUCACCCUUCCUUCCCCAAAGGACAUCUCCUUCCUAUUAUUAUUAUUAUUUUAAGGUCAGGCUUGACAAAGCCCUGGCUGGGAUGAUUUAGCUGGGGGUUGGUCCUGCUUUGAGCAGGGGGUUGGACUAGAUGACCUCCUGAGGUCCCUUCCAACCCUGAUAUUCUAUGAUUCUAUGAUUCUAUUAUUUGCAUUGUGAUGGAUCAGGGUCCACUGUGCUAGCCACUGUACAAACGCAGAAAAAAGGGCAGUCUCUGCCCCGAGGAGUUCGCACAAUCUUAUCCUCAUCACUGUCGUGUCUGAGAGCUUUCCAGCAGUGUAGUAAGCUACAUGACAAACAUCUGUCACUUGCUUGGGUUUUUUCUCUCUUCGUCUCCUACAUGACAAUUUGGGGAUUUUUUAAUUUCUUUUCUUUAUAUUAAUAGACUGUACACACACUAUACCAUGGGUUUAUAGUUGCAAAACACACACUGACAUUCUGCUGACACAAGCUGUUCAGUCCAACAACACACAAAGCAGGAAAAUACACCAGAGAGGCCGUUGGUUGUUCUGGGCUAAGUGGCCCCCUGCUCUGAUGCAGUAUGGCAAUCCCGACGUUCCUAUAUUGCCAUCCAGAUUGCUCUGCAUGGCAUGACAUCUAGAGUGUGCUGUUACUGGAAGUCGAAACAUGUCAUCUAAAAGUUGAUUCUGUGCCUAUUGGGAAGCUGCUGUUAACUGGAGCACACGUUAUGUGGGGUUUUACUUUGGAUUUUAACCGACUAUAUGUAGAUUACCACCUCAAGAGAGUGAGUUACUGGAAAUAACUG